Molecule: unclassified non-coding RNA, 370 nt
Filed under: Hevea brasiliensis (rubber tree)
Lineage: Eukaryota; Viridiplantae; Streptophyta; Magnoliopsida; Malpighiales; Euphorbiaceae
Source: RNAcentral
CAAAUUUCUGAAAGAUCUGCGAGAGAAAUUGGCAAGUGUUAGUAGUAGCCAAGGGAUUCCAGUGUUGCCUGCCAAAGUAGAUGAAGAUAAGCAAUAUCUUCUGGUGGAGCUUAACAAUUCAAAGAAAUUGCAGGUCACAGUAGCACUGAAUGUCAUCAACAUCAUCAACAUAUAUUUUGUGGCUUAUAAAGCAGGAGAUAAAGCCUCCUUCUUCAGCGAUGCUCCUGCCAAAGUAACUGAUUAUCUUUUCAAUGGCACAAUCCAGAUCAAACUUAAAUUUACUGGUAGCUAUAUUGAUUUGAAGAAGAAUGGAGCUGACCGAGAGAAUGUCGAUUUGGGUGUCCCAGCAUUAGAUCAGGCCAUAUUUACA